UAAAUCAGUUAUGGUUCACUAGAUCGUACAGUUUACAUGGAUAACUGUGGUAAUUCUAGAGCUAAUACAUGCACCUAAUCCGGUCCCUCGUGGAUCGGAUGCAGUUAUUUGCCCAAAACCAAUCCGGCCUUAGGGUCGGUCACUUGGUGAUUCUGAAUAACCGAAGCAGAGCGCAUGGUCUCGUACCGGCGCCAGAUCUUUCAAGUGUCUGACUUAUCAGCUUGUUGUUAGGUUAUGUUCCUAACAAGGCGGCAACGGGUAACGGCGGGUAGCAGCUCUACUCCGGAGAGGGAGCCUGAGAAACGGCUACCACAUCCAAGGAAGGCAGCAGGCGCGCAAAUUACCCACUCCCGGCACGGGGAGGUAGUGACGAAAAAUAACGAUGCGAGAGCUUUAUGCUCCUCGUAAUCGGAAUGGGUACACUUUAAAUCCUUUAACGAGGAUCUAUUGGAGGGCAAGUCUGGUGCCAGCAGCCGCGGUAAUUCCAGCUCCAAUAGCAUAUACUAAAGUUGCUGCGGUUAAAAAGCUCGUAGUUGGAUCUGGGUAGUCGAUGGACGGUGCGCUUUACGGCGUUACUGUUCGUUCGGCACCACAUGCCGGCCAUGUCUUGCAUGCUCUUCAUUGAGUGUGCUUGGCGACCGGAACGUUUACUUUGAAAAAAUUAGAGUGCUCAAAGCAGGCGUUAAGCCUUGCAUAAUGGUGCAUGGAAUAAUAGAAUAGGACCUCGGUUCUAUUUUGUUGGUUUUCGGAGCUCGAGGUAAUGAUAAAUAGGAACAGACGGGGGCAUU
This 788-nucleotide ribosomal RNA is filed under the name Mixibius cf. saracenus MC-2011. RNAcentral's name for it is "SSU rRNA". It matches the Rfam family "Eukaryotic small subunit ribosomal RNA", at positions 102 to 892 of the family's 1831-position model. The record is from RNAcentral. Lineage: Eukaryota; Metazoa; Tardigrada; Eutardigrada; Parachela; Hypsibiidae.